This 883-nucleotide long non-coding RNA is filed under the name Mytilus galloprovincialis (Mediterranean mussel). Lineage: Eukaryota; Metazoa; Mollusca; Bivalvia; Mytilida; Mytilidae. The record is from RNAcentral.
GGGAUGAUGAGUGAAAUAAAUGAGGGAUUUCAGAACAGGUUAAAAAGCACUAGUGCACAAUGAAAGAUUAUAGGGGUACAUGAAUAAAAUAAUUUUGUUAAUUUAAUGACUGCUGCAAAUCGAAACAUGCGUUUCAACAUUUACAUUGCUAAUUGUAUUUAGACGACCAGGAAUAAUUGUGGUCACAUUAUGAUAGGGAGAUGUCUGUGUACUUGUCUGAAAACAAUAAUUUUUGAGACAAUAACUUUAGUUAUUAUAUGUCUACAUAUUUUCUAUUUUCGCAUUGGUUAAAAGCAUAGGAAAUCCUUUUUGAUACAAUUAGAUAUACAUAUAUAUAAAUAAGGAGAUGCAGUAUUUUUGCCAAUGAGAAAUGAUAUGAUUGCCAAUCAGACAACUGAAAUCAGAGACAAAACCACAAAGAAGUUUACAGCUAUUGGUACUGCCUUCAAAAAUGAGCAAAACCUAGCAAGAUAUAAAAGGGAAUAAAAUGGCAAAUGUGAAUCAGUUUUCACUCAAAGCGUUUGGUAUUCUGUUUCCAAAAUUAUCUAAAAUGUUCCCUACAAUCCUAGGUUGACAAUUAAAAUAUAAAUGUUAUGACCUUUGACCUAAUGAUUUGAUUGUAUGACAUUAAAUCCAAUGUUGACCUGCAUUUCACUACAGGAUCUUAUACCUUGAUAAAUCAUAAUGAUUUAAGUGCAUAUACUUCGGGCUGAAAACGGAUGAAAAAAAUAAUUAUAUAUAAAAAAUAAAUAAAAAAAAACGGUUGCCAUGGUAUCAUACUUUUAGUAAUUUAUCGCUCAUAAAAUGUGACCCACCCCAAUUUGUUUCUUUUUUUCUGAACUUCACUUGCAAUUCUGUUUGAAUAGUUAUUUUCUCGGAAAUC